GAUGAACGCUAGCUACAGGCUUAACACAUGCAAGUCGAGGGGAAACGAUGAGAGAGCUUGCUCUCUUAGGCGUCGACCGGCGCACGGGUGAGUAACGCGUAUCCAACCUACCCAUUACAGGGGGAUAACCUUGCGAAAGUAAGACUAAUACCCCAUGGCAUUUUAUGGUGGCAUCAUUAUAGGAUUAAAGAUUUAUUGGUAAUGGAUGGGGAUGCGUCUGAUUAGCUUGUUGGCGGGGUAACGGCCCACCAAGGCAACGAUCAGUAGGGGUUCUGAGAGGAAGGUCCCCCACAUUGGAACUGAGACACGGUCCAAACUCCUACGGGAGGCAGCAGUGAGGAAUAUUGGUCAAUGGGCGAGAGCUUGAACCAGCCAAGUAACGUGCAGGAUGACGGCCCUAUGGGUUGUAAACUGCUUUUAUAGGGGAAUAAAGUGAGCUACGUGUAGUUUAUUGCAUGUACCCUAUGAAUAAGGACCGGCUAAUUCCGUG
This 490-nucleotide ribosomal RNA is filed under the name uncultured bacterium. Its description in RNAcentral is "partial 16S ribosomal RNA". It matches the Rfam family "Bacterial small subunit ribosomal RNA", at positions 28 to 507 of the family's 1533-position model. The record is from RNAcentral.